Long non-coding RNA from Ornithodoros turicata, 1265 nucleotides. RefSeq lists it as uncharacterized. The record is from RefSeq and is a predicted model, not a curated record. The transcript has 2 exons. Lineage: Eukaryota; Metazoa; Arthropoda; Arachnida; Ixodida; Argasidae.
UUCGCCUGCGCUAGCACACAGCGGUUUGUUUGCUUGAGGAUGAGAUUUGUGGUCUGUGGUAGCGGUGAAGCAACUUUGUAUUGUAAAAUUGUAAAAUGGGCCGCUCUGUUACUACAGAUGCAACAAGUGCCAGUCCACUUUUUCUCAGCUGCACCCUCUCAGUUCAGGCAGCAGCAGUACCAGGUGUAUGUACAUAACUUCCAAGACACACGAGUGCAAUUCUGAAGCUGAUUUUCAGCCAUGGAGAGAAGAAAUGCAGGAUGCAGCCAAGAGUCAUUUUACUAAAGGCACAGGGGUAAAACGAUUGAAAGAUGGAGGUUUAAAGUGUUAUUAUAUUUGUAACUGAUUGGAUGCUUUUAUAGAGAGGACACAUCAAAGGAAAAGGUCCAUCAAAUCACAAUAUUCCGUCAGGCGUGGGGACACCUGCCUUGCUGAUAUGUCUGCAAUGUUCCAAACUGGCAAGGUCUCGUUUGUCUUCCAAGCUUCCUAUUAUGCACAUGAUUUUGGGGCUGUCCUACACCCCACUUACAAAAACAGAGGAAGAUGUAAUAGAGGCAGCCCGUGCAGGGGGGGGGGGGGGGUAUAUGUUUAUUCACACAAAAGGAGAUGUCAGCCAGGCAAGUGCCAGCUUGCUACUCCUUAAAAAAAAAAAAACAGGUACGGGAGAAGCCGCGAUGGCAACGAUGUGCUGCGGGCGUACAGGCACUUGUAAAACACUAUGUUGUACUGGAAUGUCCUUUUUUACCUUCCAGAAACUAUUUGUUUAUGUUAGGGAAACUACGUGACGGCAUUGCACUCAGCGUACUAUGCAGCUCAGUAUUCGGGGUGUGCUGGAUGGCACGUUUCAAAGGAUCCAAUUCACCUCACUACAAGGCAGUACCUGUACAUCACCAUGAGGGACUAUAAUAUAUGUUACAGUGAGAGGAAACACGACGACAACCAAACCAGUGUUGCCUUGUUGGUCAGUUCUAUCAGAGCCCAAACAAACAGUCCAGUGCUUUCCCUCACACACAAAGGCAAGAAGGAUGAUCCUACUGUCUUUCAACGAGGAAAUACUGACUUGUUGCAAGAUGAGGAUUUCUUGCUAGUUCUCAUGACAGGCAUGCAAAAACAGCUGUUAAGGCAUUUGGGCACCAACAAAAGUGUGAUGAACACAGGAGGAGCAGGAAAGCUAGCUGGUGUUGACUUGAUGUUAAUGCCGAAGUGUACACUUUCUUUUUACCCGUCUCUCCUUCACUUCGUGUAUUAAAGCUUCUUUGCUGGUU